AUGAACGCUGGCGGCGUGCCUAAUACCUGCCAGUCGCGCGAACAGACGAGGAGCUUGCUCCUCUGACGUUAGCGGCGGACGGGUGAGUAACACGUGGAUAACCUACCUAUAAGACUGGGAUAACUUCGGGAAACCGGAGCUAAUACCGGAUAAUAUAUUGAACCGCAUGGUUCAAUAGUGAAAGACGGUUUUGCUGUCACUUAUAGAUGGAUCCGCGCCGCAUUAGCUAGUUGGUAAGGUAACGGCUUACCAAGGCAACGAUGCGUAGCCGACCUGAGAGGGAGGUCGGCCACCCUGGAACUGAGGAACGGUCCAGACUCCUGCGGGGAGACACAGUAGGGAAUCCUCCGGAAGGGGGGAAAGGUUGACGGAGCAAAGCCGGGUGAGGGAUGAAGGUCUUCGGAUCGUAAAACUCUGUUAUUAGGGAAGAACAAAUGUGUAAGUAACUAUGCACGUCUUGACGGUACCUAAUCAGAAAGCCACGGCUAACUACGUG
RNAcentral lists this ribosomal RNA (496 nucleotides) under uncultured bacterium. Its description in RNAcentral is "partial 16S ribosomal RNA". It matches the Rfam family "Bacterial small subunit ribosomal RNA", at positions 29 to 507 of the family's 1533-position model. The record is from RNAcentral.